This 237-nucleotide long non-coding RNA is filed under the name Lathyrus oleraceus (garden pea). RNAcentral's name for it is "Pisum sativum (pea) long non-coding RNA (PSAT_LNC007366)". The record is from RNAcentral. Lineage: Eukaryota; Viridiplantae; Streptophyta; Magnoliopsida; Fabales; Fabaceae.
UUCUGGUUGGUUGGUUGGUGGUUCCUGUGGUAAUGUUGUGUUGUGUUCUGGCACGGGUCGUGUUGCAUGGUGUUGGUCGUUUCUGAGGUUCUCAGUUUUUGCAAUUGGUCCAGCUUACUGGCACCCAUGUGACACAAAGUCUGGUUUUUUAUUCAUGGUAUUGUAUUACCAUCUGAGUUUUUCAGAAACGGCUAAUACUCUUACUAAAAUGUACUACUAUUUCAAACAAUUUUUUUA